Molecule: ribosomal RNA, 262 nt
Filed under: uncultured bacterium
Lineage: Bacteria
Description: partial 16S ribosomal RNA
Rfam family: Bacterial small subunit ribosomal RNA
Source: RNAcentral
GUCCACGCCGUAAACGUUGGGCACUAGGUGUGGGUCUCUAUCGACGGGAUCCGUGCCGUAGCUAACGCAUUAAGUGCCCCGCCUGGGGAGUACGGCCGCAAGGCUAAAACUCAAAGGAAUUGACGGGGGCCCGCACAAGCGGCGGAGCGUGUGGCUUAAUUCGAUGCAACGCGAAGAACCUUACCUGGGCUUGACAUUGAGGGAAAAGCCGGUGAAAGCCGGUGUGCUUCGGCGUCCUCAACAGGUGGUGCAUGGCUGUCGU